AUACUUACCUGGCAAGGGAGACACCGUGAUCAAGAAGGCGGUUCACCCAGGGCGAGGUUCAGCCAUUGCACUCCAGCUGUGCUGACCCCUGCGAAUUUCCCAAAUGUGGAAAUCUCGAUUGCAUAAUUUCUGGUAGUGGGGGACUGCGUUCGCGCUCUCCCCUG
Molecule: small nuclear RNA, 164 nt
Filed under: Salmo salar (Atlantic salmon)
Lineage: Eukaryota; Metazoa; Chordata; Actinopteri; Salmoniformes; Salmonidae
Description: U1 spliceosomal RNA
Rfam family: U1 spliceosomal RNA
About the family: U1 is a small nuclear RNA (snRNA) component of the spliceosome (involved in pre-mRNA splicing). Its 5' end forms complementary base pairs with the 5' splice junction, thus defining the 5' donor site of an intron.
Source: Rfam by way of RNAcentral